This is a non-coding RNA of Sus scrofa (pig), 1975 nucleotides long. The record is from RefSeq and is a predicted model, not a curated record. NCBI's taxonomy places the organism in Eukaryota, Metazoa, Chordata, Mammalia, Artiodactyla, Suidae.
AACAAAACCAGUGAAGAGAUGCUGCUGGGCAGCAAUGAUUAAGUCAGAAGAAAAGACAAAGACAAAACGUUAAUGAGGAUGUGGAGAAACAGGACCCUUCCAAUGAGCUCCAUUUUCCAGAAAUACAAGCAAAACAAUGCCCCCAGGGAGCUCUGGGUUGCGGGCUGGCACUUGGGCGGGAAUGGAGUGGAGUCAUUUCAUGAAGCUGUCAGUGGCCUCCUAGGUAACCUGCAAGGGCCGCCCAGAUUCAUGCCAACAGGGGAGAUCAGGCUGGCAUUCAGGUCCUGACACUUAUCCAGAUCAGACUGGAAAAUUCGGGAGAGGGCUACAGAAUGCAAUCUCUUUCUCCUCGGAAACAUACAAGCUAGGGUGGGAGAAAGAGGGGUCAGUCAUGGCGUGUUGGCACCUUAAUCCCCGCGCCCUGCCUCCCAUUCUUCCCAGGAGGAAAGGAAGAGAGCGGAUACGAGGGAGGUCCUUGGGUCUGGGACCUCUGGCGCUUUGAACAUGCUCCUGGACCCCAUGCCAGGAUGCUCCCUGCCUCAGAAUCCUCAUCCACGCCAUGGGAGGGAGCCCUGCCCCAGCCUCCCCUGCCGGCCGGGUUACUGAAAUACGAAGGCCUGUGAGUUCACAAUGCAGGUAGUGGGCUGAACCAUGAGGAAGAGUUUGCUGGGCUGCUUUGAGGUUUGACCUAUUUAUUUUUCUGCAGGAGCUUUUUUGGAAACUCUCUUUGUGAAGGUUUUUCCUUCCUUCUUCCUUUCUUCCCUCUGACUUUGACGUCAGCCACAAAAGCUAGCGUGGGCAGAAUUUGGGCGUUUCGAGGACACUGCAGGGCGAGGAGUCCGUUCCUGGCCCUUCCUCUCUCCCGGGCUCUGGUCUCUGCAAGAGGCUCCCUGAAGUCCCAGGAUGAAGGACAAGGUUCUCCAUCGUCUGAUCCCCAGUUGUCUCACUUUCUGGCCCCUCUUUGCCGCAGCCCAGAUCCAGGGUCCCAAGCAGAAGCCUCAGGACCCAGGAUUUGUCCAGGGCCACCUAGGCCCAAGACUUGAUCAGAUUUCCCCAGUUCAUCACUCAAAAAAACAAAAAACAAAACAAACAAACAAACAAAAAAAAAACUUUGUGUCUACAAAGAGUGCCCCCAACAGAACAUUCAGGAGGCAAUAAAGAGUUGUUCAUGGAAAGAGACUCUGGUCACCAGCUUCACAUCCCCUAAAAUUUUCCCUACCUGGCUGACAGCUCUCAGAAUUUACCAUUUGCACUAGAAGCAAACAAGGAAAAUGAAUGCAGCCAGGAAUAUCCCAUUAAGAUGUAUGAGUCAUUUAUGCCUCAGUGUGGAUGAGAUACUCAGAGCCUUUCUUGGGGUAGCAUGUGAGAAGAUUCCAGCAGCCGGCCACCUACGAUGGAGACCUCUUAGGGAGAAGAGGGCCCAGGCAGGACAGGCACCACCACAAAACCUGUCUCAAAAAAUCCUCCUCCUGUUUGUCCUUUGAAAAGCGGAGUCCAUUUGAAGAUGCUCUCCUUCUCCCAUGGGAAACCUCUGAGAUGCUCCAGAGAAAACAGGACACAAGGGUACCUGAGCUGGAAGCCGAGGACGGAGGUUGUCGUGGUCUUCCAAAGAAGGUUCUGAAAGAAGAAGAUUGGACUGCAUGGGAAUCCAGGGAUUUAUGCGACUCGAUCCUGCAUUUGUAAAAACAGUGUUAUUAUUCCUAGCCAUCUGACAGGGUCAUCAUGCAAGUCCCAGAAGUACUGUCUGUGGAAGUGAUUUGAAAAUGGCAAAGGGCUAAGAGGUGUCUCUUUUGGAGAAGCAGCCUGUGGCUGGGAGGUCACUGGGAUUGGACUUUAACAGUUGGGGAAGCCAUGUGCGUGCCUCCUCAGAGCCUCGGUUUUAUCACCUGGGAAGUGGAAACGAUAAUACCCACCUCUUAGGCUUUGAAAGUGGGAAUUAGACAUAAUGUGCAUAAAAUUAUUGCAUAAGCAAUAA